RNAcentral lists this non-coding RNA (28 nucleotides) under Bombyx mori (domestic silkworm). The record is from RNAcentral. Lineage: Eukaryota; Metazoa; Arthropoda; Insecta; Lepidoptera; Bombycidae.
UCAAUUGAUGAUUCUACAAUAGGUAUUU